Molecule: ribosomal RNA, 253 nt
Filed under: uncultured bacterium
Lineage: Bacteria
Description: partial 16S ribosomal RNA
Rfam family: Bacterial small subunit ribosomal RNA
Source: RNAcentral
UACGAAGGGGGCUAGCGUUGUUCGGAAUCACUGGGCGUAAAGGGCGCGUAGGCGGCUUUGUAAGUCGGGGGUGAAAGCCUGUGGCUCAACCACAGAAUUGCCUUCGAUACUGCAUGGCUUGAGACCGGAAGAGGUAAGUGGAACUGCGAGUGUAGAGGUGAAAUUCGUAGAUAUUCGCAAGAACACCAGUGGCGAAGGCGGCUUACUGGUCCGAUACUGACGCUGAGGCACGAAAGCGUGGGGAGCAAACAGG